Molecule: ribosomal RNA, 281 nt
Filed under: Ixodes persulcatus (taiga tick)
Lineage: Eukaryota; Metazoa; Arthropoda; Arachnida; Ixodida; Ixodidae
Description: partial 16S ribosomal RNA
Source: RNAcentral
AAGGUAUUGAAAUAAGAUUUUAAAUGAGUGCUAAGAGAAUGAUUGAACAAUUAUAGGCUUUCUUUAGUUAAAUAAUUAAAUUUAAUUUUUUUAGUGCAAAAGCAAAAAUUAAAUUUAGGGACAAGAAGACCCUAUGAAUUUUAAUUUAAUUUAUAAUUUGAAAUUUUAAAUUAAAUUUGAUUGGGGCGAUGGAAAAAGAAUAAGUAUCUUUUUUAGUUUUAAAAAUUGGUUCCGUUUUUAACGAUUAAAUGAGAAAAAUACUCUAGGGAUAACAGCGUAAA